Molecule: long non-coding RNA, 563 nt
Filed under: Pogona vitticeps (central bearded dragon)
Lineage: Eukaryota; Metazoa; Chordata; Lepidosauria; Squamata; Agamidae
Description: lncRNA (ENSPVIG00000021507.1)
Source: RNAcentral
CUCAGCUUUUAAGGAAUGGUUUGCCACAUUCCUUUAAAUCGAUGACACGGCCCUCAGUUUCCUUACCCCAGACCUUCCCGUUUACUUUCUUUCAUCCCAUCCAGAGUUUGGAAAAUUUGCUCUUUUUGAUGAUGAGGUCUCUAACAGAUUACAUGAAAGAUAAAAGAGGCUGGCUGCUGCAAAAAUGAUGAACACAACAUAAUAUUUAAUGAACUUCUUCUUGGAAUUAUAUCAUUCCCAUCCAACAGCAGCUAACUUUAAUAUACUUUGGAGAGGAGAAAGGAGGUUGCUGUUUGAGCAGCAUAAUAGAAAUCAAUUGUGCACACAAUUAUCUACAAAUGGUCAAGAAUUAUCAGCAAACCUCACCAAUUCACAGAUUUUAUUAAGAAGCUCAAAAAUCUAUGCCACCAUAGUUAGCAUUUUGAUGAUAAAGAUGAGCCUGGCUGACAGGUGAUGCCUUACAGACAGCAUGGAAGCAAGAAACUUACAGACACCCAGUUUGAAACCAGAAGUGAUGGCUGCAUCUCAAAGGGGCAAACUGUAUAGUUAAUAAGGAAAGAGGA